RNAcentral lists this non-coding RNA (24 nucleotides) under Arabidopsis thaliana (thale cress). The record is from RNAcentral. Lineage: Eukaryota; Viridiplantae; Streptophyta; Magnoliopsida; Brassicales; Brassicaceae.
CCACAAAAUCUCUAGGAGUUCUAC